Molecule: non-coding RNA, 3458 nt
Organism: Vicugna pacos (alpaca)
Lineage: Eukaryota; Metazoa; Chordata; Mammalia; Artiodactyla; Camelidae
Source: RefSeq, a predicted model, not a curated record
AUUAACUCAGCAGCUUAAUCAGAGAACUAGUCGCUGUCCUGGAAGCCCGGUGUUGGAAAUUUUUGCUUUCAUCUUACUGGUCAGAACUUUGAUCCUGUGCCCCUGCCCCCCACCCCACCCCGGGUGCAUGGAGUCCAGGGAGAGGGGUGUGUUUAACUGGCACAUUGCUGCCCGGGGCAGAAUUUUAGUGGGGAGGAAGAGGAGGUUGGCAGCUAGCAGUGUCUGCCAUGUGGUGAUUUUCCUUUUUAUUCUAAAUUAAUUUUCUUUGACUGUCUACUCUUGUGUUUUUAUUUUUAGAUUAGUAUGUUUGUUGUCACAAAAGGAAUAGUUGCUCAUUAUUUAAAUUCAAAAAUACAGAAAAGUAAAAAGGAAACAAUAAUUUAGCCAGAAACAGCUGGUGUCAUAGUGGGUGAGCCUCAUUCCAUGCCUCUCAUGUGUGUGUCCUUCUGCAGAUGGAAGGAACAGGGAUGAGAGCUGGAAGGAAGGAGACAGGCAGGCACGUGGACAAAUAAAAAUGGACGAAGCAUUUUAUAAGAACAGAUCACACUUUAUCAGUUCUUUUCAUUAAAACAUUAGGUUUCAUUUUACUUAAAUCUGUAAGAAGAAAAAGAAACUUCAUCCUGAGAAAUGUUACAUCCCAAAAGGUCCUUCAAGAACAUAGAUUAUGAAAACCCCUGAAAGACUGCCAAAGCUGUAUUGUUAUUUUUAACUGCUUUUUCCAAUUUUAUACAUGAUCAAUUUUUCCUUCUAUUAAAUACGUAGUAAAACUCUUACAUCCCCCACUCGCAUGACUCCUACCCAUUUUUGUUGGUUCUUUUUUAAUAAGUAUAUUAUUUAUAACUUUAUUUUAUAUACUAUAUAUAAUGUAUGUGUCAUAUAUCAUUAUAUAUAUUUAUGUAUGAUUAUAUUAUUUAUAAUUAAUAUAUUUAUUAUAUUCUCUCCAGCAGCUGUAAUUCCCUUAAGUGUUUGAAAGUGGAUCUUGGUUCUGGUUAUUACAGAGCCAGAAUGCUUUUCACCAGUACAUUAGCCAUUGCUCCUCCAUUCUGGAAUUAUUUUGAUUGCCCUAUAAUUUGACUGAAUUUUUUUUAAUCCCUUGUUUUUUUUAAGAAGGGCUCAGAAGUCCCAAAUUCUGCAGUGUUUUCAUAUUUGAAUUUCAUAUCUAAGCAACUUUUCUUUCCUGUAUAAAAGGAAAAGAUACUGUCCAUGUACUAUUACUGAAAAAUAACAACUUAGAGAAAUCAAAAUGAAGAACUCAGGAAGGGAGAAUUCUGGUGUGAAAGCACUGGCCGACUGCAGCUGGAGCAAGAACCACCUGCCACACUCCCGCCACCCCGUCCUGGGGAGAAUCACAGUGCUGGCGGGUCUGACUCCUUCACUGGCCACGUUAAUGGUCCUCCAGUGACUUGGAGGGAUUAAUGGCCUGAUUUUACAUUGACUGAAACAGAUCCUUUAUGAAUGCUUUAAGAGGUUUCUACAGAAAACCUUCUAAAUCAAACUGCCCAAUUAAAUGUGAUUACUACUCUAUAAGGAAAAAACCUGGAAAAGAUUUGAAGGAAAUCUUGGGUUGAGGUACUUUUGGGGACUUGUUUCUUCUUUUGACUUUUCUGUAGUUUCCAAAUCUUUAAGAACCACUUAUUUCACUUUUAAUGAAAGAAGUAAACUUUGCGUUUAAAAAGUUAACAUCCUAAAGAAAUUAUAUUAAAAGUAUAAAAUUUUAAUUCUUCACUUACCUCGAAGGCAGUCAGGGAAACGUUCACUGGGGGUCAGUUCAGGACCUGCAGGGUUUGAGUACGGGCCUCCAGAUCUCUUCUAGGGAGUUCCCUGAAACUUUCUUUUUGUAUUACUAACUGAAUAAUUAUUGGCCUUAGAACUAUUUCUGCUGUUUGGGGAUUUAUGAGGUACCUUAAAAGCCAAAAAUUUGACAAAAAUAUACAUAAUAACAUUUUUUCUAAUGUGAUGAAUGAUAUCACAGUAUUAGAGCAGGACUAUCAUUUAUUUCUUUAAUCAAACUUAAACUUGUUGUUAUAGUUUCCAUGCAAUUUAUAUUAUUCCAGUGAUACUAUACCUUGAUAUACUUUAUAUAGAAAAAUGUCCUUUAAAGCCCACUUAAUCUGAACUAAAAUUCUUCAUAAAGUUAUCAGCUGCUCUUUGAUUCCUCUUUUAGAUAUUUUUAGUUAUUUCUGUGAACAUUUAAAAGAGUAAUUUAUUUAAAAGUAACAAAACCUGAAAUUAUCCUGAUCCACAUUCUCCUCACAUUUAUUUAGCUCCAUGUGUCAUUGGACAUGAGCCUUGGGUCAGUUGGCCUCCGCGUCAAAUGGAGUAGAAGCCGGUUCCGGGCAGGGGUCCCACAUGCAGGGUCCUGCGUGCAGGGGGACAGCUGUGUGAGGGCACUUGUUACACACCUGCCUGCUGUGAGAUCCUCACUUGUCUUAGUGCUCCCGUUGUAUUAGUGAUUCUUGUUACAUAAUUGCCAAAUACACAUUCAAUGUAGUUUGUAUUUUCGGUGCUUUUAUCCAUUGUUCAUGACAUUUAGGAAUAUCUGGAGCAGGACUCACCAAGCCAGCAACUCCAGCCUCCCACGGGGAAAGCUGCGUGGCUCCCCGAGAAGUCUGAGGGCCCCUCAGAAACUGAUGCCUGUGUUCAGUUUCUGAAUGUAGGUGUUGAAUUUCACAGUAAUAUUCAUAAUGGUUGUAUGGUCUAUAAUUAUACGUUAAAAUUAAAUUAUAAAUAAUGAAAUUUCUUCUGCACUGAGUGAUACUGCACUCACUCACUCUUACUGAACAUUUAUUGAUUUUCUUGUAUACUAGAACAUUGUUAACCGUGUCAUUUUCAUUUGUGUUUUUUUUCCCUAACCCACUGUGUUCAAAUCUAAUAUAUAACUCAACAUACCAAAGUAAUGCUUUUCCUUAAAAGGAUUCUUCAGGCUGCCGUGGUGGGAACAAGGAAGCAAAACUGACUAUGUUUGAAAGAGUUCAGGAAGCAGAGGGAAAAUGCAGAGGGGCACAGGCCCUCGGGCAGUGGAUUACAGUCACAUUCUCAGAAAAAGAGCAAGAGCUUUGGAAGAUAAGAUAGAGGAACUACAGAGACAGCAGGAGAAGGAACUAUUCCAACUCAGUCAAGACAAUUAUAUCCUUCGAGCCAAGUGAUGUAGCGUUGAAGAAUCAAACAAGAAACAAAGGUGGUUGCCUUUUGAGGAAACAUCAGCUCCUGCCACAGAGGAAAAAUAAAAUCAAAAAAAGAAAUAGGAACAAGAGACACUUGUUCAGGGACGUCAACAGAGAGUUCCAGAAACAAGCCUGUCUACCCACUGUGGCUCUAUCCAGUUUCCUCACCACAGAAAGAUGGGCCAAAAACAGAAAAAAAGAAGGAAAAUGAAAAAUUGUAUAAUCAAGUGAAAGAUCUCCAUGAACAAGAAAAAUGAAGAGUGAACGUUCAAGGAAAAUCAGAGCUUAUUCAGC